CGAACGCUGGCGGCGUGCUUAACACAUGCAAGUCGAGCGGUAAGGCCCUUUCGGGGGUACACGAGCGGCGAACGGGUGAGUAACACGUGGGUGACCUGCCCUCAGCUCUGGGAUAAGCCUGGGAAACUGGGUCUAAUACUGGAUAUGACUCCACGGUGCAUGUCGUGGGGUGGAAAGCCUUGUGCGGCUGAGGAUGGGCCCGCGGCCUAUCAGCUUGUUGGUGGGGUGAGGCCUACCAAGGCGACGACGGGUAGCCGGCCUGAGAGGGCGACCGGCCACACUGGGACUGAGACACGGCCCAGACUCCUACGGGAGGCAGCAGUGGGGAAUCUUGCGCAAUGGGCGAAAGCCUGACGCAGCGACGCCGCGUGAGGGAUGACGGCCUCGG
RNAcentral lists this ribosomal RNA (388 nucleotides) under uncultured bacterium. RNAcentral's name for it is "bacterial SSU rRNA". It matches the Rfam family "Bacterial small subunit ribosomal RNA", at positions 30 to 420 of the family's 1533-position model. The record is from RNAcentral.